UUUAUUAUUUUUGAACCUGGAGCAUUUUCUGUUGGACGUUACAGGAUCUUACUGCUUUAAAUCAUACAUUAUUAAAAAAAAUGAGGGUUUAUUCUUUGAAUUACCCUUUUGUAUGCAGGAGUGAAGACUGCUUUUUUAGUUGACCAUUCAAAAUCGUUGAAUUUUAGUUUUUGCAGACUACUAAAAUUUGCAGUGACUUUUUUUUUGUAAGGGGGGUAAAUGAAACAUUUAGCAGCCUUUGAAAUCAGCAAGUUGCUUAGAUAGUACUUUAGAUUUUGAAACUGAAUAUAACAGUGUUAGAAAAGUAUGUGUAAGGAAUUGUAUUUACGUGCAUACUAGUAGUACAAUACUUAUAGCUGAAUUUGGUUGGCAAAAGUAUGUUUUCAUUUUAUUACGACUGCUAGUCAGACAGGUGAUUUGGCUUCUGCACAGUUAGGAGGAGCACCAAACCGAUGGGAGGUUUUGUCAGCCACACCUACAACUAUAAAAGAUGAAGCUGGUAAUCUAGUCCAGAUUCCAAGUGCUGCUACUUCAAGUGGGCAGUAUGUUCUUCCCCUUCAGAAUUUG
This 567-nucleotide long non-coding RNA is filed under the name Homo sapiens (human). Its description in RNAcentral is "non-protein coding lnc-OLA1-4:3". Lineage: Eukaryota; Metazoa; Chordata; Mammalia; Primates; Hominidae. The record is from RNAcentral.